GAAAGGACUGCUAAUACCGAAUGUUGUGGAACUUCCGCAUGAAGCUCCACCAAAGAUGACCUCUUCCUGAAAGUUAUCGCUCAAAGAUGGGUCUGCGUCUGAUUAGCUAGUUGGUGGGGCAACGGCCUACCAAGGCGACGAUCAGUAGCCGGUCUGAGAGGAUGAAUGGCCACAUUGGAACUGAGACACGGUCCAGACUCCUACGGGAGGCAGCAGUGGGGAAUCUUCCGCAAUGGGCGCAAGCCUGACGGAGCAACGCCGCGUGAGUGAAGAAGGUCUUCGGAUCGUAAAGCUCUGUUGUCGGGGACGAAUGUACGAGCUAUCAACAACAGCUUGUAAUGACGGUACCUGACGAGGAAGCCACGGCUAACUACGUGCC
Molecule: ribosomal RNA, 379 nt
Filed under: uncultured bacterium
Lineage: Bacteria
Description: bacterial SSU rRNA
Rfam family: Bacterial small subunit ribosomal RNA
Source: RNAcentral